RNAcentral lists this ribosomal RNA (450 nucleotides) under uncultured soil bacterium. RNAcentral's name for it is "bacterial SSU rRNA". It matches the Rfam family "Bacterial small subunit ribosomal RNA", at positions 947 to 1384 of the family's 1533-position model. The record is from RNAcentral.
GAAUUCGAUUAACGCGAAGAACCUUACCCAGGCUUGAACUGCAGAUGACAUCCUACGAAAGUAGGCUCCCGCAAGGGCAUCUGUAGAGGUGCUGCAUGGCUGUCGUCAGCUCGUGUCGUGAGAUGUUGGGUUAAGUCCCGCAACGAGCGCAACCCUUGUCUUCUGUUGCCAUCGGGUCAUGCCGGGCACUCUGAAGAGACUGCCGGUGACAAACCGGAGGAAGGUGGGGAUGACGUCAAGUCAGCAUGGCCUUUAUGUCUGGGGCCACACACGUGCUACAAUGGCCGGUACAAACCGUCGCGAUCUCGCAAGAGGGAGCUAAUCGGAGAAAGCCGGUCUCAGUUCGGAUUGUAGGCUGCAACUCGCCUGCAUGAAGUUGGAAUCGCUAGUAAUCGCGGAUCAGCACGCCGCGGUGAAUACGUUCCCGGGCCUUGUCACACCGAAUCACUA